GGUGCUUACACAUGCAGUCAUGGGGCCAGCAAUGGGCAACCGGCGAACGGGUGCGUAACACGUGAGCAACCUACCGAACUGUGGGGGAUAGCCGGCCUAACGGCCGAGUAAUACCGCAUACGCUUUCAGUGAGGCAUUUCAUUGAAAGGAAACCUACGGGACAGAUCGAGGGGCUCGCGGCCUAUCAGCUAGUUGGCGAGGUAACGGCUCACCAAGGCAACGACGGGUAGCUGGUCUGAGAGGAUGGCCAGCCACAUUGGGACUGAGAUACGGCCCAGACUCCUACGGGAGGCAGUAGUGGGGAAUCUUGCGCAAUGGCCUAACGGCUGACGCAGCGACGCCGCGUGUGGGAUGAAGCUCUUCGGAGUGUAAACCACUGUUGCCCGGGACGAACAGCUCGAUUUCUCGAGCCUGACGGUACCGGGUGAGGAAGCACCGGCUAACUCCGUGCCAGCAGCCGCGGUAAUACGGGGGG
This 475-nucleotide ribosomal RNA is filed under the name uncultured bacterium. Its description in RNAcentral is "bacterial SSU rRNA". It matches the Rfam family "Bacterial small subunit ribosomal RNA", at positions 43 to 532 of the family's 1533-position model. The record is from RNAcentral.